Molecule: long non-coding RNA, 254 nt
Filed under: Hordeum vulgare
Lineage: Eukaryota; Viridiplantae; Streptophyta; Magnoliopsida; Poales; Poaceae
Description: long non-coding RNA (HVUL_LNC011269)
Source: RNAcentral
UCUCUUUCAGUCAUGAAGGACGUUUGUUGAAUACUGAAGCUCAUAGUUUAGCUAGAUAUGCUUUGCAUCUAGGGGAAGGACGCCAUGUUUGGCUCCUACAACCUUUUGAUAGCCUUCUUAUACCUGUAAACCUUACUAUUGAUCAAUAAAGCAAAGCAGUUUUCCCUAAAAAAACUACAAACGAAGCAAUGUCUCGAAAAAAAAACCUACAUCGGAAGCCACCACACAGGAAAAAAAAUCUCCAGGGAACCUAC